GACGAACGCUGGCGGCGUGCUUAACACAUGCAAGUCGAGCGGUAAGGCCCUUUCGGGGGUACACGAGCGGCGAACGGGUGAGUAACACGUGGGUGACCUGCCCUCAGCUCUGGGAUAAGCCUGGGAAACCGGGUCUAAUACUGGAUAUGACUCCAUGACGCAUGUUGUGGGGUGGAAAGCCUUGUGCGGCUGAGGAUGGGCCCGCGGCCUAUCAGCUUGUUGGUGGGGUGANGGCCUACCAAGGCGACGACGGGUAGCCGGCCUGAGAGGGCGACCGGCCACACUGGGACUGAGACACGGCCCAGACUCCUACGGGAGGCAGCAGUGGGGAAUUUGGGCAAUGGCCGAAAGGCUGACCCAGCGACGCCGCGUGCGGGAGGACGCCUCGGU
This 390-nucleotide ribosomal RNA is filed under the name uncultured bacterium. Its description in RNAcentral is "bacterial SSU rRNA". It matches the Rfam family "Bacterial small subunit ribosomal RNA", at positions 28 to 420 of the family's 1533-position model. The record is from RNAcentral.